AAGGGAAUUUAUCUUACAGGCUUCACAGGCAUCAUCAUCAGUCACAGUAUGUGAAAAUAUGUUAAUUAAUACUUUUUUUCUUUGCUGCUAUUACAGCACUUUGAUUUAGAAUCUACAUUCAAAGACAAAAGCUAAACAAAAGCUAAGGGUUUGUGCCUUAGAAGGCUAAAUCACCAUUAAAAUAAACCAUUUUGAAAACUCAAUUAGCUGUUCAAUUUUAUACUGUGAUUAUUAUUUCUCCAGGUUUUUCCUCAUAUACAAAAAAUAGAAAAUUUGGUUUGUUUUUUCCAUAUUAAGAAAGCUUGUGAACUGUCUGUGUCAGUGUUACAUAUUUAGUGGGCUUAUUAUUAUUUUUGCAAUGCACUGGCACAGCUCAAUUUUAAAUGCAAUUACUACAUUAUAAUCUUGGCAAGACCCACUGUUCCAAAUAAUUCUCUGAUGUACAAAUUAGUCUUCCUACUAAAUGAAAACUGCCAAUGGAAAGGUAUUAUUAUAGCAUAUAAAAAUGAAAAGUCUCACUCAAGUGCAGAAUAACUAUAAAUUUCAUUUCCGAGAUAUAUACUGUAUACACACAAACUUUUAAAAAAGUUAUAAUUAAGAUGUCUAAUUCUUCUGAAAUAACACUCAAAUAUAAAAUAAUUCCCUGUAGGAUAUGUAGGCAGCCUGGAUCAAAUAGCGCCUUCCUACACAGUGAACUAGAAACACUGCUAGGCUAAUAGGUUGAACAAUUUCUUCCACUUUUUUUCCCCAGAAUAUGAAGAUAAACAGCAAUUGAAGUGUGGUCAGAAGAUUCUGCAAUUAUUUUUUGAUCACCAACACCAUUGGUGGUUGUGAGGUAAAGUUUUUAUUACGGUAUAUAUUUAUAAGUGUCUUCAACAACUUACGGUAUUUUCCCUAGUUCUGCCACACAGUAGUACCAUACAUGGUCUUUUCAGCAUCAAAGAUUUCCUGCGUUGGCAGAGAAACCAACUCUGAAACGAGGACUUCAAGACUGGCUUUUAUUUCCUACUAGGAGGUCCUUCUGGGAAGGAGGACUCAACAAUGCAAGCACCAAACCAAGUGGGCUUCCUACUUUCUAUGGCUUGGUUUAAAAUGGAAACACUUGAUGAAGAAAGUGAUUUAUUUCAUAUUAUAUUUAUGAAAAGGUAGAGCAGCCUCAAUGUUUUCAGUAUUCCUGAAACUGCUUACUUGAUUAUACAAUGAAGAAACAAGAUAGGAAAAAACUUCUUAAAAAUCCCCAGGGAUUUUUUUUUUUAAAAUGCCCAUGUACCCUUAUUUUGCAAUGGCUCUGGUUGUGAAAUCAUCAGACUGAAAAAUACUGGAGGAGUGGUGAGGGUGGAUUUUAGUGACAAGAUUUCUUUAAGGCUAUAAACAAAUCAAAUUCAUUAAGAGAAACAGAGAUGGCAGAUUUCAUCAUAAAAGGGGGAAAACAUUCUCCAGUUGAAUUACAGGUAUAGCACAAAACAUAGUUGUUUCAUUUUUUAAAACUUCAGUUUCUGCAUUCUGAAACAGCAUUUCAGUUGGCUCAGUUCACAAGAGCCAUCUGCACCUGCUCAAGAAACAG
Molecule: long non-coding RNA, 1564 nt
Organism: Cebus imitator (Panamanian white-faced capuchin)
Lineage: Eukaryota; Metazoa; Chordata; Mammalia; Primates; Cebidae
Exons: 2
Source: RefSeq, a predicted model, not a curated record